GGGCGAUUAGCUCAGUUGGGAGAGCACCUGCCUUACAAGCAGGGGGUCGGUGGUUCGAGUCCACUCAGACCCACCA
RNAcentral lists this transfer RNA (76 nucleotides) under Vibrio cholerae HE48. RNAcentral describes it as "tRNA-Val". It matches the Rfam family "tRNA". From Rfam's summary of the family: Transfer RNA (tRNA) molecules are approximately 80 nucleotides in length. The record is from RNAcentral. Lineage: Bacteria; Pseudomonadati; Pseudomonadota; Gammaproteobacteria; Vibrionales; Vibrionaceae.